This 1441-nucleotide ribosomal RNA is filed under the name uncultured Bordetella sp. RNAcentral's name for it is "partial 16S-23S ribosomal RNA intergenic spacer". It matches the Rfam family "Bacterial small subunit ribosomal RNA". The record is from RNAcentral. Lineage: Bacteria; Pseudomonadati; Pseudomonadota; Betaproteobacteria; Burkholderiales; Alcaligenaceae.
AGGGUUCGAUUAUGGCUCAGAUUGAACGCUGGCGGGAUGUUUUACACAUGCAAGUCGAACAAGCACGGACUUCGGUCUGGUGGCGAGUGGCGAACGGGUGAGUAAUGUAUCGAACGGUGCUUAGUAGCGGGGGAUAACUACGCGCGAAAGCGUAGCUAAUACCGCAUACGCCCUUCGGGGAAAGCGGGGGACCUGGGCCUCGCACCAUUAGAGCGGCCGAUAUCGGAUUAGCUAGUUGGUGGGGUAACGGCUCACCAUGAUCCGUAGCUGGUUUGAGAGGACGACCAGCCACACUGGGGGACUGAGACACGGCCCAGAUCUUUACGGCGCAGUGGGGAAUUUUGGAUAAUGGGGAAACCCUGAUCCAGCCAUCCGGCGUGUGCGAUGAAGGCCUUCGGGUUGUAAAGCACUUUGGCAGGAAAAGAAACGGCAUCGGAUAAUACCCCGCAACUGAUACCAGUAUUUAAGCACCGGCUAACUACGCCAGCAGCCGCGGUAAUGUAGGGUGCGCAAGUUGUUAACGGAAUUACUGGCGUAAAGGCAGGCGGUUCGGAAAGAAAGAUGUGAAAUCCCAGAAUAACUUUGGAACUGCAUUUUUAACUACCGAGCUAGAGCGUGUCAGAGGGAGGUGAAUUCCGCGUAGCAGCGAAAUGCGUAGAUAUGCGAGGAACACUGAUGGCGAAGGCAGCCUUGGGAUAACACUGACGCUCAUGCACGAAAGCGUGGGGAGCAAACAGGAUUAGAUACCCUGGUAGUCCACACUCUAAACGAUGUCAACUAGCUGUUGGGGCCUUCGGGCCUUGGUAGCGCAGCUAACGCGUGAAGUUGACCGCCUGGGGAGUACGGUCGUGAUUAAAACCGGUGCUGAAUUGACUGGGACCCGCACAAGCGGUGGAUGAUGUGAUUAAUUGAUAUAACGCGAAAACCUGUUUGAAUUCUGGAUAUGUCGGGAAUCCCGAAGAGAUUUGGGAGGCUCGCAAGAGAACCGGGAACACAGUGUGCUGCAUGGCUGUCGUCAGCUGUUGUGUCGGUGAUGUUGGGGUUGGAGUCCCGCAACGAGCGCAACCCUUGCUUUGCUGCUACGAAAGGGCACUCUAAUGAGACUGCCGGUGACAAACUGGAGGAAGGUGAUGACGUCAAGUCCUUAUGGCCCUGGUAGGGGCUUCGACGUUUCUUUCAAUGGUCGGGACAGAGGGUCGCCAAUCGCGCGGGAGCAAUCCCAGAAACCCGAUCGUAGUCCGGAUCGCAUGUCUGCGCUCAGACUGGCGUGAAGUCGGAAACGGUAAUCGCGGAUCAGCAUGUCGCGGUGAAUAUUGCUCGGGUUCUGUACACACUGCCCGUCACACCAUGGGAGUGGGUUUUACCAGAAGUAGUUGGCCUAACCGUAAGGAGGGCGAUUACCACGGUAGGAUUCAUGACUGGGGAGAAGUCGCACAAGGUA